RNAcentral lists this ribosomal RNA (254 nucleotides) under uncultured bacterium. RNAcentral describes it as "partial 16S ribosomal RNA". It matches the Rfam family "Bacterial small subunit ribosomal RNA", at positions 524 to 776 of the family's 1533-position model. The record is from RNAcentral.
UACGUAGGGACCAAGCGUUGUUCGGAUUUACUGGGCGUAAAGGGCGCGUAGGCGGCAAUUCAAGUCAUCUGUGAAAUCUCCGGGCUUAACUCGGAACGGUCAGAUGAUACUGCUUUGCUAGAGUGCGGAAGGGGCAAUCGGAAUUCUCGGUGUAGCGGUGAAAUGCGUAGAUAUCGAGAGGAACCCCAGAGGUGAAGACGGGUUGCCGGGCCGACACUGACGCUGACAGCGCGAAAGCCAGGGGAGCAAACGGG